AUUGAACGCUGGCGGCAUGCUUUACACAUGCAAGUCGAGCGGCAGCGCGGGGGGCAACCCUGGCGGCGAGCGGCGAACGGGUGAGUAAUGCAUCGGAACGUACCCUGGAGUGGGGGAUAACGCCGCGAAAGCGGCGCUAAUACCGCAUAUGCUCUGAGGAGGAAAGUGGGGGACCGCAAGGCCUCACGCUCUGGGAGCGGCCGAUGUCCGAUUAGCUAGUUGGUGAGGUAAAGGCUUACCAAGGCGACGAUCGGUAGCUGGUCUGAGAGGAUGAUCAGCCACACUGGGACUGAGACACGGCCCAGACUCCUACGGGAGGCAGCAGUGGGGAAUUUUGGACAAUGGGGGCAACCCUGAUCCAGCCAUGCCGCGUGAGUGAAGAAGGCCUCGGGUUGUAAGUACGUCUUUUGGUUCGGGUAAGGAAAGUAGACCU
This 433-nucleotide ribosomal RNA is filed under the name uncultured bacterium. Its description in RNAcentral is "bacterial SSU rRNA". It matches the Rfam family "Bacterial small subunit ribosomal RNA", at positions 28 to 461 of the family's 1533-position model. The record is from RNAcentral.